Molecule: long non-coding RNA, 443 nt
Organism: Homo sapiens (human)
Lineage: Eukaryota; Metazoa; Chordata; Mammalia; Primates; Hominidae
Source: Ensembl
GAGAACUAUUUGACUUUCUGGCUUCACAACUGAGUCAAGGAAACUUAUUUUGAACUAUUUACAGCCUUUAAUAAGCCAUCAAACUACAGUCAGUCAUGCAACAGGAGCCUCUGAUGACGACCCUUUCUGCUGGGAACCCUUAAAUAGGCCUCUGAGGGAGCUCUGACUGCGGCUUCCCCCAAAACAGCGCCCCCUGUCAGCAGGAGGCAAUAAUGGAGCUAUUUUUUUCUUUCGUUGUCCAAGUGGAAGAUGUUAAAAAAGAAACCCUCAAUGUACAGCAAAACUGCAUUUCCCAAGCUCCUCUUCUCUCAAUGGGUCACAUGACUUGUUCUAGCCAAUAGAACGAGGGUGGAAGUAAUGUGACCACUUUCAGGUGUCCCCUAAAGUCUCCUGUGAGAUCUUCCAAUCUUGCUCUCCUCACUCUGCAUGGCUGGAAAUGAAUA